This 253-nucleotide ribosomal RNA is filed under the name uncultured bacterium. RNAcentral describes it as "partial 16S ribosomal RNA". It matches the Rfam family "Bacterial small subunit ribosomal RNA", at positions 524 to 776 of the family's 1533-position model. The record is from RNAcentral.
UACAGAGGGUGCAAGCGUUAAUCGGAAUUACUGGGCGUAAAGCGCGCGUAGGUGGUUUGUUAAGUUUAAUGUGAAAUCCCCGGGCUCAACCUGGGAACUGCAUCCAAAACUGGCAAGCUAGAGUAGGGCAGAGGGUGGUGGAAUUUCCUGUGUAGCGGUGAAAUGCGUAGAUAUAGGAAGGAACACCAGUGGCGAAGGCGACAACCUGGGCUCAUACUGACACUGAGGUGCGAAAGCGUGGGGAGCAAACAGG